GAGAGAGAGAGAGAGAGGGGCUAUAAGUUGUCCGUACUCAUCUCUGUCACUGUCACUGGCACUGUCAAGAGGCCCAAAAGGACCGUCACUACUUUACCAUUUCCGGUGUCCAUAACCAAAAUCUUUUAUGCUUUUUAAUUAUUUUUUUGUAUAGUCUUGUCAACGCUUUCUGUAAUUCUAUGCACAUAUUUUAGAUCCCAAAAUUCCUCCUCUCCCAAAAUUCCUCCUCUCCUUUGUCAUAUUUCCAAUUUUUCUACGCACUUUUUCGUUUUACUAGACAUUUUCUUGAAAUUGCUUUCAGUGUCUUCUUCUAUUCUUCCACCCAUUUCCUCAAAACGUCUUCUUUAAGCUUCAUUCAUUGUAAUAAAUGUCCAUUUUUUCGUGUGGGUCAUGAAAAGUUCGUUUUCCUAAUCAACUUUUCUUCUUACGAGAUAUUUUACCUUUUCUUGCUUAGCCUUUUUCUUUAUAGCCUCUAUUUUUAGGUCCUCUUGUUGAUUGAAGUUCAUUUUUUGAAAAAAGGUCAAGCUUUUUUGAGUGAGGUAUGGAUGCUGAUCAAGAUGGGUAUGCUGAAUUUGCAGAGGGCAGGGAGACAAGGUACUAUAGUGCCACUACUGGAAUUGGUCUUGGCAAACAGAAUGUGGGCGAGCCUGAAAUGGGUUUUCAAGACAAAGUUAGAGAGUUCUUGAAGGGGGCAGCUGAAAUGAGUGUGCAAUUCGCUAAGGGGUGCAGGGAUGUUGUGGUGCAGAGUUUAGGAAGGGAAGAUUCCUUUAUUGUGCGGAAUUUUGGGAGAAGUUCUUAUAUAGGGAAGAAAGUUAGGUGUGGCUGUGAGAGGAUUUGUCAGAAAUUGAAGGUUUUCAAUGAGUACUUGCCUGAGGAUAAGGAUCCAGUGCAUGCUUGGUCAGUGAUAUGCAUCGUGUCUGUUCUUGCUUUUGCAGUCUUGAGUUUAAGUACUAAACAUGACACUUCAGCCACAUGCAUAAAGAAGGUGUUCAUACAUCCUCCUAGUGCUGACCGCAUAUUGCUUCCAGAUGGUAGAUACAUGGCAUAUAGGGAGCAAGGUGUUCCAGCUGACAGAGCUAGAUUUUCAAUGAUAGCUCCACAUACUUUUCUUUCCUCUCGACUUGCAGGAAUACCUGGACUUAAGACUUCACUCCUGGAAGAGUUUGGCGUCUACUUGUUAACAUAUGAUCUUCCUGGUUUUGGAGAGAGUGAUCCUCACCCAAACAGAAACCUCGAGUCAUCGGCGUUGGAUAUGUUAUGUCUAGUAAAUGUUCUGGGUGUUAAGGACAAGUUCUGGGUGGUUGGAUACUCAAGUGGGAGCCUUCAUGCUUGGGCAGCACUUAGAUACAUUCCUGAUAAACUUGCAGGUGCUGUUAUGUUUGCUCCUAUGGUUAACCCAUAUGAUUCAUUGAUGACCAAGGGUGAGAGGCGUGGAAUUUGGGAGAAGUGGACACGGAAAAGAAAAUUUAUGUAUUUCUUAGCACGGAGGUUUCCUAGAUUUCUUUCCUACUUCUACCAUCAGAGCUUCCUGUCUGGAAAGCACGAUCAGAUAGACACAUGGCUCUCACUUUCAUUAGGAAAGAGAGAUAAAGCUUUGAUAGAGGAUCCAAUCUAUGAAGAAUUCUGGCAAAGGGAUGUAGAGGAGUCGAUCCGACAGGGAAAUGCAAAACCGUUCAUAGAGGAAGCUGUUCUGCAAGUUUCGAAUUGGGGCUUCAGCCUUGCAGACAUCAAGUUGCAGAAGAAAAAGCCAGAGAAAGGUGUCCUCAAUUGGCUCAAAUUUGUGCUUACUAGAUCUGAAGAGUACACAGGUUUCCUUGGCCCCAUACAUGUAUGGCAGGUAAGUGAUAUCAUUGUCCUUUUCUCCAUCUUUCUGCUGCUUCAAACUUCAAGCUUCACCGCUGUGGUACUUGAAAAUUUUCUUGGUUCAGUUUCCUAAUGUCAUGAGAUCUUACAGAAGUGCGCUCAAAUGAUUUUUCUAGGCUUCCUCUGUUCUGCAAUGCAUGUAUUGAUGUAUUCUUCGCUCUUCAUCUUAAUGCUCCAACAAGGCAUUAGCCAUAGGAUGAAUUAACUAAAUACUUCUUUGGGGGACUAUUUGCUUCUUAAGGGUCAUCUUGAUAAAACUUUUGUGAUUGCUUUGUAUUUGAAAGAAACCUUUUGAACUAAAGUGAUGUGAUCGCUGGCUGUACUUGGUUGUUCUUUCCUUGCAUGAUAACAGCUUUUAGAAAUAAAUUUCAAGCUUGGUGAGGCUUAAGCUCUGGUUAAUGCAAUAAAGGGUGGGUUUAAAAAUUAUCAAGCAAAUGAUUCAAACUAGGCACCAAAUUCAUAGAGCCCUGGAAAUGCAUGUGUUCCUUGUUUUGAAUGGUUAUAAACUUUCAUCAGUAGAAUUAAGCUAAUUUGCUAUUGAUUCUACUCUUUUUUAUUUUUAUCUUUUGGCAAUUGUGCAGGGGAUGGAUGAUAAGGUCGUUCCACCACUAACGACUGAUUUUGUACACCGGAUUCUCCCAGGGGCUGCAGUGCAUAAGCUCCCAUACGAGGGCCAUUUCACAUAUUUCUAUUUUUGCGAUGAAUGCCAUAGGCAGAUAUUCAGCACACUUUUUGGGACCCCACAAGGCCCGAUAAACAAUACCAUAGAAGUAGAUCAAACUCCAUAUGAAGAUAGUGUGAAGGUGCAGGAGGUGGAUCAGACAGAGGAACAGGCAGAUCAAAACUCCAUUAGCAGAUGAUAUUAAAGAGCAAGCAGAAACACAUACCAAAGACUAAGAUAAGGCUUGGUAAUUAUAAUUUAGAAAGUUACAAUUUACCAAUGUAUAUAGCACAGGUUUACUCUAUUACUCUUGGGGUGAAGGUUUAGAAACCCACAUCAUUCUUUUUGUUAUGGCUUUUUAAUCAUCGUGGAAGUUGAUGGUAGGGAAUUGGGUAUUGCUGGGAAGGUUUUGAGAUACUGCCUGGAUGGCAAAAUAUACAUCAAAGUUAAGUUGUUCUGAACUUCUAACUACACAAUUUGUUUAUGCUCGAGUCAGCUUGAAAACUGCAUAUUUUAUAGAUAAAAAAUCUCUUUUCAAUGAAUUCU
RNAcentral lists this unclassified non-coding RNA (3070 nucleotides) under Hevea brasiliensis (rubber tree). Lineage: Eukaryota; Viridiplantae; Streptophyta; Magnoliopsida; Malpighiales; Euphorbiaceae. The record is from RNAcentral.